This is a long non-coding RNA of Clupea harengus (Atlantic herring), 1213 nucleotides long. The record is from Ensembl. Lineage: Eukaryota; Metazoa; Chordata; Actinopteri; Clupeiformes; Clupeidae.
CAAGAAUCAACACCUGUGACCAGCAACAGGAACACUGAGAGCACCACAUGGUUUGCAGUCCAAGAAAUCCUGACAGUUCAUUAUGUUACGCAUGGUCCUGGACCUGGAGAAAGCCUUUCAAUUCUGCUGGACCUUUCUGUCCCAGAGAUCCAUGGCUGGGCUCGAAACGCCACCACUGGUUAUGUUUGGCUGGGCCUCUGCUAUGGCUGCAGCCUGGACACUUGGUACUGGCUCAGAGGAGAGACGGUGUGCUAUGAAAACUGGGCACCGGGGCGCGGGAACGGGAGGGACGCCUGUGGGACAGGAUGGAGAGUGGGAGCCAUAGAGGCCCGAGGAGACCAGCAGUGGGUCAGCCUGCCGGACACAGAGAAGCACAACUUCAUUUGCAGCACCUAUGAAGAUGAAUAAACCAUCAGGCAAACUAACAUCAGGCACAACAAGCUUUCAGUCAAUAACUUUUAGACAGAGUGGUGAUGGGACUGCAUUAUGUUGAUGCCUUUUUAUCUUCUAUCUUUUAUCUUCUUUUUUUGUUAUCCAGGUAUCGUAUCGAUUACAGAAUUCACUGAUGGUUAACUUUUCUCAAACUCAUUUGUUAAUUGCUCACCCUUACCCGAACUGUCAGUAACAUCUAGCUAUUGUUUGAUAGCUAACUGUAGUCUAUACCUAUCAUAUGAAAUAAUAGGCCUAUUUGAAAAUGAUAGUUUAAACAUUUUUAGUCUCAGGGCAGGAGGCAUAUUGCUGUUGGAUGUUCAUGUGCUGUGAGUGGGUGCAUGACAGACCUUGACUCCAAGCCAUAUUUUUUGCUUUUUCAAGAGUGCUUUGAAUAUUAAUUGUAGGUUUUGAUAACAUUUUACUAAAUAUGUAGUUUUGGUUAACAAAAAGACACAUUUUUUUUACAAAAUUGUAACUGUAAGCUAUAUGCAUUUUUAUGAAGGAUGUACAACUGUAUAAAUGUGUAAGAAAAAUUGCAAAUACAAAAUGUAGUAAAGUAACUUCUUUUCAGAGUACUUCUUCUACAAGGUAGUGACUCAGGGAAGUGAACCGAAAUGGAGGUUGUGAAAAAUGUAUUACGAAUGUGAACAGUAAAACAGAUUUCAUUUCACCUUUUUUAAUAAAUCGGGAAUCUUUUAAUUCUCAAACUCUAAAUUCACAUAUGUAAUGCACACAUUAAUGCUUUUUUUUUUACUGUUGGUUUUAUGGACCAUAAUAAGAG